This 253-nucleotide ribosomal RNA is filed under the name uncultured bacterium. RNAcentral describes it as "partial 16S ribosomal RNA". It matches the Rfam family "Bacterial small subunit ribosomal RNA", at positions 524 to 776 of the family's 1533-position model. The record is from RNAcentral.
UACGAAGGGGGCUAGCGUUGUUCGGAAUCACUGGGCGUAAAGGGCGCGUAGGCGGCUUUAUAAGUCGGGGGUGAAAGCCUGUGGCUCAACCACAGAAUUGCCUUCGAUACUGUAGAGCUUGAGACCGGAAGAGGUAAGUGGAACUGCGAGUGUAGAGGUGAAAUUCGUAGAUAUUCGCAAGAACACCAGUGGCGAAGGCGGCUUACUGGUCCGGUUCUGACGCUGAUGUGCGAAAGCGUGGGGAGCAAACAGG